GCUCAGGUGGCGGAAUUGGUAGACGCGCUAGACUAAGGAUCUAGUGCCGAAAGGCGUGGGGGUUCGAGCCCCCCCUUGAGCACCA
Molecule: transfer RNA, 85 nt
Filed under: Verrucomicrobia bacterium TMED44
Lineage: Bacteria; Pseudomonadati; Verrucomicrobiota
Description: tRNA-Leu
Rfam family: tRNA
About the family: Transfer RNA (tRNA) molecules are approximately 80 nucleotides in length. Their secondary structure includes four short double-helical elements and three loops (D, anti-codon, and T loops).
Source: RNAcentral